Molecule: ribosomal RNA, 464 nt
Filed under: uncultured bacterium
Lineage: Bacteria
Description: partial 16S ribosomal RNA
Rfam family: Bacterial small subunit ribosomal RNA
Source: RNAcentral
CCUACGGGUGGCUGCAGUAGGGAAUCUUCGGCAAUGGACGGAAGUCUGACCGAGCAACGCCGCGUGAGUGAGGAAGGUCUUCGGAUCGUAAAGCUCUGUUGCCAGGGAAGAAGGCUGGGGGGAGUCACUGCCCCCAAGGUGACGGUACCGGAGAAGAAAGCCCGGGCUAACAAAGGGCCAGCAGCCGCGGUAAUACGGAGGGGGCGAGCGUGGUCCGGAGUUAGUGGGCGUAAAGCGCGCGCAGGCGGCCGGAGAAGUCUCAUGUUUAAACCUGGGGCUUAACCUUGGGGCGCGUGGGAAACUGGUCGGGUUGAGUGCAGGAGAGGGAAGCGGAAUUCCACGUGUAGCGGUGAAAUGCGUAGGGAUGUGGAGGAACACCAGUGGCGAAGGCGGCUUUCUGGCCUGUAACUGACGCUGAGGCGCGAAAGCGUGGGGAGCAAACAGGAUUAGAUACCCGUGUAGUC